This 38165-nucleotide long non-coding RNA is filed under the name Gossypium barbadense (sea-island cotton). Its description in RNAcentral is "long non-coding RNA (GBAR_LNC019915)". The stretch from base 37766 to 38165 matches the Rfam family "Bacterial small subunit ribosomal RNA", at positions 929 to 1361 of the family's 1533-position model. The record is from RNAcentral. Lineage: Eukaryota; Viridiplantae; Streptophyta; Magnoliopsida; Malvales; Malvaceae.
UCCGAUCACCUAGAAACUAUUCUAAAAUGUUUUCAAUAUGAUUUUAAAGACCUAGAAAUGAAUUGGAUUAUUUGAAAUGGUAGAUCUAUUUGGUUUUAAUAGUGAUUUCUUAAAGGAUUCUAAGUAAAAAGUUUGUUCAAGUUACCUCGGCAAUAAAUGUGAUAUCUCACAUUCAAGUUUGAUGACUAGAUCAGGUGUGAGGUGUCUAGCUAGCUACUCGUUCAUUUCUAUAUUACGACAAAGCAUAAAUGAAGUUAAUUAAAAAAUAUUUCUUUUAAUUUUAAUUUUUCAUUAUUUAUCCUUUGUUGAUGUGGCAACCGACGUGGCAGUAUGCCACCAGUUGUCACUGACAUGAAGUUGUUAGAAUCGUAAAAUAAGAUCUGAUAUAAAACUUAACAAACCAGGAUAUGUCAGAUCAUUAAGAACAAAAAUGUAUGUGGAAGUGUACCUGAACCCAUUGUUGGGGAUUGCCUAGAACGUCAUGAUCUUCCAAGAAAAUAGUUUAUCUUUUAGUAUAACUCGCUGAUGGGGAUGGAAAAGAAAUAUGAGCUAUACAUUUAUUUCUUGGGGACCACUACCUCUUUUUAAAUAACCGAUUAUUAAAUCAGUUUUGGGUAUUUAUAAUUUGGCCCCUCAUCAAAUUACAAAUAAAUUUUAUGUUAUCUAGACAUUAUUUCCAUGAUACUUUAAUACAUGUGAAACUUUUAACUUAAUUGGUCACUUAAUUUUGUAUCACACUUUAUAAUAGUAUUAUACAUUAUACAUAUGCAUAAUUAAGGAUGUUAAUUCAACAAUCUCCCAUUUGUACAACAUAUGUUUCCGGAUAAAUGUACAGCCUUAUGAUCCAAAAAUUUGCUGUCAUAUAAUUGGUAUUCUAUAACAAUCUCGUCCAUCAACUAUAUCAAUAUAGUAUCAAAGUAGUCUUUGUUAUAUUAAUAAUUACUAAACUCAUCAAUGGUCACAUAUACAAAUAUAAUCAAAUGACAUUGAUCAAUCAUGGAUUUGUAGCAUGAAAAUUGUAUGCAAUGUAAACCAAACAUGCCUAUUUCCAAAUGGUCCUCUUUAAACUUAAGUGAGGUCAGUAUCAAAAUGAAAAACAUAAUAAAUAAACUGAAUACUUCAUUUUUUUUAUCAGAAAUAACCAAAUACAUAAAUGUCUAAAAACAAACAGAAAACAAAUAAAAUACAAACUGCCACUAAACCAUGACGUCUUUAAAUAAUAUAACACCCAUAUGAACAGUGUGCUCAUGAAAGACCUUGGGUGGUAAACUUUUUGUGAACAAACCCGCUAUCAUGGAGUUUGUCCCAUUGUGCUCUAUGGAUAUUUGUCCACUCUGCAUUCUUUCCUUCAUAACUAGGAACUUUAUGUCAAUAUGCUUUGACUUAGAUGAGCUCCUGUUUUUGGAAUACAGCACCACUAACUUAUUAUCACAGAAUAAUUUGAGUGGUCUUUUUACAUUCUCCAAAAUGCGCAACCCCGUGACAAAGUUUUGCAACCAUAUUCCAUGGUUUGAUGCCUCAUAGCAUACUAUAAGCUUUUUUUACCAUAGUGGAAGAAGCUACAAGUGUUUGUUUGACACUUUUCCAAGAUAUAGCUUAUCCAGCUAACAGAUAAAUAUAGUAUGAUGUAGAUUUCCUACUAUUUGAUCUGUCGUAAUUUGACAUGUCAAAUUAGGCUCCUUGUUAUAUUUAAUGAGCUUGUUCUCGAGCAAUUUUAAUGUUUUUUCAUAGUUUGCAUUUAAUUUUCGUUUCUUAGACUUAAUUUACUUUUCAUGCAUUUUGUGCUCAUUUGAUGUUAUUUUGAUACCCAAAUUGGCCAAAUGUGCUAGUUGGACCCUAAUGAUUGAUUGAGUAUUGUAAGAGCUUGUUAGUGGCCCAAAUUUAAGUGAAAACAUUGCCACAAGCAGGGGUAUUGCGACAUCGGAGCAUGGAUAUCGCAACACCUCUAACAAAUUUGAAAUGAAGAGGAAUGGGAGCCACCUAUAGUGGUGUCGCAAUACCUACGCUUAGGUAUGGCGACAUCCACCAUCAAAGGUACCCUUUGAGUAUACUAUUGAGGAUGUCGCGAUACCCACUUCUAGAUAUCCCUAUAUCCCUAUCGUAUGGGAAAAAAAUUACAUCAGGGGUAGUUUUUGUCCACCCGAAGCACUAAUCAAAUAAAAGAUAAAAAGAGGCAUUUAGGCAAUAUUUUGGGGUCAGAAUCAACUUUAAAAAGGAAAAAAUUGGCUAAAGAAAGAAGAGACAGUAGUUUUAUGUUAGUAAGCUUUUUAGUUUAGGUUUAGGGUAGUUUUCUUAUUCAUAGUUUAGGGUUUUAAUUCUCUGUUAGUUUCUUUAUUUUCCUUGUAUUUUCUUAGUUAGUUAAGUUAGUUUUUAUUGUAGUUAGGUGUUAUUCGUUUAGUAACCCUUUAAACUUUAUUGUAGUUACAUUUUAAUCUCACUUUAAUGUUAUUUGGUUUUCUUUAAUUUCUUUGGUUAAAAAUUAUUUCUUUAGCAUUUUCAUUUAUUGUUCUUGCUUCUAUUGUUGCGUUAUCCAAGCUUUUACAAGAAAGCUUAGAUUUUUAUUCACCUAUAGUUAAGUUUAAGUUAAUGUUUUCUUUGCUUGAGUAUUUUUUGUUUGUAUGUUUAGAUCUGAGUAGGACUAGCUAAAUAUAAGGUGAUUGGUUGAUGAAAAUAUUGGGUAGUUGUUUAGGGUUUAGAGGCUAAAUCGUAAAAUAUAGACUAAUUUGAAUAAACAAUAAAAGUUAGGAUUGAUACUUGUAAGAGAAAAUCAAGAUAAGUGAGAUCGAGAGGUAAUCUUAUUGUACACCAAUUCAUUAGUCUCGGGUUAGCCGGCAAGAUCGAAAGAUAAACCAGACUAAUUUGUCUAAGUUGGUAAAGUUGAGGCCGAAAGGUAAAAUGAAGCAAAUUUAGGAGUGUUAACGAUUUAGAUCCUUAAUUCAAAGGUUAAUUAACGACAUGGAAAUCAACCAAUCACUGCCUGUUAUCAUAUUUGGUAGUUUUAUGUUUUAUUUUAUUGACAAUUUAGUCACUUUCUACAUUUUUUGCGGAUUACCGAGUUACAUUUACAGUGAUUCAAACGUGUUUCUGGUGGAGGAUGUGAAGCCUACGGGUUUGGAACUUAGUGACCAAUCGUGUUUUUGGAGGGAUGUUUAGGCUACGGCUUGACACUUAGUGCCCAGGCAUGUUCUUGAAUGGAUUAACUCGUUUGAGCAUUUUGACGUGUUUUGGAUGGAUAACCGAGUAUCCGUAUCUAUUCAUAACAGUUCAUCCAGUUGAAUUGUUGUUUUUAAUAGACUUGAUAGUUUGUAAUUGGUUUAAAAUGUGAUAAAUCAUAGAUGAAUGAUCUCGAAACCUGUUUAUGCUUGUUGGUACUAUGAAUUGAUAUGGUGUUGGAUUAACUUGUAAAUUAUGAAAAGUUAAAAGUUUUGAAUGCGAUGAACUCACCUUUUGAUGUGAAUUGUGCUAAAAGGUUAAAAUGUUUAGUUAACUAUUUUGUUAUUUUUAAAGGAAGAAAUUAAGGUAAGUUAUAUUGAUUCCAACCUAUGAACUUACUAAGCUCAAUUGAAGCUUACUCUGUUUCAUUUUCCUAUAGUUAUCGUUUUGUGGAACUCAACGAAUUGAAUCAGCUUGCAGAUCACACUAGCCAACCACUUUUUGGUAGAUUUUGAAAACAUUUUAUUUUGGUUAUGUGGCAUGUAAUAGGGGUUAAAUUAUGUAAAUGUGUUUUGUAAUAGUGUAUGUAUAUGGUAUUUAUAAAGUAUUGGAUGAUGGCAUUUUAAUAUGGUAGCUUAUAGUUUGAAGUGAUUGCUUUAAAAGUAAUUGAUGAAUAUGGAAAAGGUGAUAAAAUAACAUGAAAGUUUGGCAUGUUUGUUCAUGGUGUGAGAUAUUCAAAUAGGUAAGAUUGUGUUGGUGAAUAUAUUCUAAAAGCUUGAUUAUUAAAUUAGUUGCCUAAGUAUGGUAUGUGAAAUAGUUUUGGUAUCCAAUUUAGUAGUUAUGGAUUUGGCAUUUUUGGUCAUUGUUAGAUGAAUGGAUAAUGUAUCUGGUUGGUGUAUUGGUUGUUUUGGUGUCAAAUCUAUAGAUGGAUAUGCUGGUCCAUGGUUAAAGAUAUAGAUGGAAAAUUUGGUAUUUUGGUGAUUCAAAUAAUAGGUGCACAAUCAUGUUCGAAUUUGGUAUGAAUUAGGAAAUACUUUGGUAUUGAUUAUUGUUUGUAAUGGUGCCUUGAGGCAUAUUGGUUAGAAUUAGGAAAAUGAUACGUUUUAGUAUGCUUUUGGUAUACUUUGUAUAGACCUAUUGAAUGGUGAAUGGCUUGUUUAUGGCAUAAGUAAACAAUCGAUUGUGUAACUUGAUUUAUAUGACACAUUUUGGCACACGCGGGCUAACACACGAUCCACGUAUUGGAUAAAGAUGAAAGGAAGUUUGACUUACUGAUAAAAUUGUGUAUGUUUGUAGGAUAUCCAAAUGGAAUAAAGGGUGGUUUGUUUUGUAACUCGAAAAAGUAAAUUGUUAUAGUCUCAACUCAUGCUACUUUCCUUGAAGAAAGUUACAUGAAUGACUUCAAACCUCGGACUAAAGAGGUACUCAAGGAACUUUCAGGAAAUAUACAAAAUCCUAAUGAAACAGUUUUAAAACCAACUUUUAAUAGUAGACUUGCAAACAAUCAUUAGCAUAGGGAGCUUAGUCGCAGUGGGAGGGUCUCUCGUAGGCUUGAGUUCUUCCAAUCUAACGGAAGUGUUAUUAACACUGAGUCUGCCAAACAUGAAGAUGAUUACCCACUUACAUAUGACAAAACGAUACAAAAUGCUAAUUCCAAGCUCUGAGAAUUAACUAUAAAAGCUUAAAUGGACUCUAUGUAUUCCAACUCAGUGUGGGAACUUGUAGACGUACCAGAAGGGAUAAAACCCAUAGGGUGUAAGUGGAUCUACAAAAGGAAAAAAAUGCAGAUGGAAAAGUGGAAACUUUUAAGGCCAGACUUGUAGCAAAAAGUUAUACUCAGAAACAAUGUAUUGAUUACGAAGAAACCUUCUCUCCAGUUGCCAUGUUCAGGUCAAUCCACAUAUUACUAUCCAUUACGGUGGCUCUCGAUUAUGAGAUCUAGCAAAUAGAUGUCAAGACAAUGCUUUUGAACUACUAUCUUGAAGAGAUAAUCUACAUGAUGAAACCUACCGGAUAUAUAGCUAAAGGAAACGAGCAUAAAGUUUACAAACUGCUUAAAUCCAUAUAUGGACUUAAGCAAGCAUCCAGUUUACAGAAUUAAAUAUUUGAUCAGGUGAUCAAAAUUUUUGGAUUUGAUCAAAAUGAAAAUAAACCUUGUGUUUAAAAAUGUUUAGGAGAUUGAAAUGUGGUCUUUCUUGCUCUAUAUGUCGAUGACAUUCUACUUAUUGGAAAUUAUGUAGAGACAUAGUCAUCAGUUAAACUGGUUAACCCAACAGGUUAGCAUGAAGGACUUGGGAGAAGCUAAUUUUGUUCUAGAUAUUUGAAUCUUAAUAGAUCGAAAUAACAAAGUGAUAGCACUGUCUCAGGCUUCAUAUAUAGACAGAAUAUUGAAGCAUUAUGCAAUGACCGAUUCAAAUAAGGGAAAUCAACCCUCUGUAUCAAGAUUUCAUAUCUCUUUAGAGGACUAUCUUAAGACAAUAUGUAGGGUUAUUCACAACAAUGGAAUUCAUAGCCCAAAACAUGGGUAAAUGAUAUACUCUCACUAAUAUUACAUGGUUGAUGAAAAGUAAAUAUGGUCAUGGUCGUCUGUCUUUGUAAUGAUUGACUUGAUCACUAUUUGAUAGUGAUUGACUUUUCAUGAAAGAAGAUGUAACGGUUACCAUGAGAUAAAAAAGAAUUAUAUUGGGAGAAGGAAUAUUAUCCGAAACAGAUCAAGGAUAUCCUAUGAGGGUAACACACUUAUGGCAAAGUCAUUAGAUAAGCACUACGUAAUUGUUUUCAUAAUGGUAUGUCAUUAGUGAGAGCUCAAUCACGAUGCUAUAGUGAAAUGACUUCGUGACUAAAUGAGUUUAUAAUGAAUAGGCGAAAAGUCAGAACUUAAUUAUAAAUCAUUUGAGCCUCAACUACAUAUAUACAAUCGAUCCCUCCGCUAGCUCGUUGAAACCAUAAAUGAAUUGUGUGUUUUGAAUAGAUAUAAACAGAAUGGAAAGAAAAAGAGAAGCACGAAACAUUCAAGAAUGACUAUGGUUUUCUCCGAAAUGGAGAAAUGGAAUCAUUUGGAAAUGAAAAUGGAAACUUACAAUCCUAUAUAAGAUUACUUAAAAAAUAAUGGAAGAACGAGUUUAUGUUUUUGGACUAUUUUGAAGCCUAAAAAUGAAAAUAAAUCAUUCAGUCAUAGUGAACAUGUUAAGUUGUGACAUAGUGAGAAUUUUCUCGAAAUUUUCUCGAGGUAAAAUCGUCAAAAUUUUACUAGGGAUAAAAUUGUCAAAACUUUACUGGAGUAAAAUUGGGAUGAGAAAAUUAUUUAAUAUGUAAAUAUUAAAUUUUAUUUUUGGGAAAUAGAAAAAUUGAAUUGGGUUGGAUCACAUUACAGAGUACUAGAUCAAAAAGCUCAGGAAGUACUCGUAAUUGGACCCGAUGUGUGAGAGGCUCAAAACCCCUCAUAUGUAGUAUGUUGUUUUUCUAUUUAAAAUAAACUUCUACAACUCUACAAGGGUUCUACCUUCCCUUUAUACAAAAAGAUGGCUCCAGUAGAGCUAUUAAUACAACUUUGAGAGAUUUUUAUUUGUUGAAAAAUAGAAAGAAUUUAUUCUCAAUUAUUACAUAUAUAUUUUUCCAAAAUAACUAUUCUACCAAUUUCUAUUAAAAAAGAGAGAAUUUUCGUUUUCACCCCAAAAGGAGAGAACUUUUUUUAGUUUUGUGUUUCAAUUUAAUUGGUUUGAUGCCACACUCAAAGCAGUUCGUGGUACGAGAAUAGUAGAGAAUAUCAUUUGGUUGAUAGCUGAAAAACAUCAAAGAUCCGCUUAUCAAAAAAUAUAGGUACGGAUUCGGUUAAGGUUUAUUGUUAUAAAUAUCACAAACUAAGUCGAUUUUCAAAUUUUUAAUUUUUCGUUGUAAAAGAAAACUAUUUUCAAAUUGGGUCUUAUCCAACACCCCCUGAGUAUACUAUCAGAGAUGUCGCGAUACCCACUUCUAGGUAUCACGAUAUCCACCUCCCAAUGGGUAGCCUUAUUUCAUUACUAAUUACAUUAUCGCAAUAUCUUGCCUUAGGUAUCGUGAUACCCAUAUCGUGAAGGGGACAAAAAAUUACGCCAAGGGUAGUUUUUGUCCAACUGAAGCACCAAUUGGAAAAAAACCGCUCAAGGGAACUUUGGUCAUAAAAUGGGGUCAGAUUUUGCUAUGAAAAAUAACCACUUUUGGCUGAGGAGAGAGGACACAACUUGUAGGUUUAGUUUAGCUAAAUUUCUCUUUAGUUUCUCCUAGGUUUUCUUCUUCAUAUCUAGGGUUUCGUAUCCAUAAUAUAAGCUAGAUAUGCCUCGCAUCCCCUGCGUACCAGUCUUUUAGCUAUUAGAGCAGAGAUUACGUUAGAUAAGUAAUCUCUACGCUUUCCAACCAUCAUUAUCUCCUUCCCAUCCAGAGUCUUUAGAGUGACCCCCUUAGUAGCACAAUCCAAUAUGACUUGAUGUUCUACCAAACAGUCCAUCCCCAGAAUGAGAUUGAAUUCGUUGAAGUGUAAUUCCAUCAUAUCUACCGAAAAUAUUUCUUCUUGGAUCUCUAACGGAGACUGUUUAUACACUUUAUAAUAGAAAUAGAUUUUCCUAAGGGACUAAGGACACUCACAUUACUAACAAUAUCUUCUACCUUAAUACCCAGUUUAUCAGCCAUUAAACAUAAAACAUACAAAUGGGGUAAUCCAAUGUUAAUCAGAGCAAAAUAUGGUACGGUAUUAACGAUAAUGGUACCUACUAUGACGUCGGUGGUGUCAUAGUCCUCUCCAUGCCUAGCUGCGUACACUAGUGCAAGCCAUCUAGUAUCAACUCAGUUAGCACCCUGACCUUGGGCUCUCUCUCUGCCCAACAUUACCACCUUUAUUGGGACCUUGACCUCUUGGAGGCUGCUAUCCAACUCUCUGAUUCUGAACACGAUUUUGACUCGGUGCUUGCAUUUGCUCAUUAAGAAGCGGAAAAUCCUUGAUCUUGUGCUUCAAGGAUCUACAUCUUAGGCAUACGCCCAAACUCCUCCAGUAUUCUCCCGGAUGGCUCUUACCACAAGUGGCACAAUAUUGGGCUCUCCCUCCAUCAACAGCAGCAACAUUUUGCCUAGGUCAAUCGUCUCGGGAUCUUUUAUUAGGUCACGGAGCCUAAACAGUGGAAUUAACAUCUCUCUUGGUAGGGAUUCUAGCUCUAUCCCUUGAUUCGCGUUCCAAACACUUCACUUCCUUCACAAUUUUGGUUUUUUCCACAAACGCUUUGAAAAUCCUUUCUUGCCGAGGGGCUACUUGCAUCAUUAACUCAUAUCUCAACUCGUUUUCAAAUCUGACACACUUGUCUUAUUCAGUCGCAACCAUCCCCUCGGUAUAGCGACUUAACUAUAGAAAUUCGGUCUUAUACUAGACCAUAAAUCUAUCCAUUUGCUUGAUCUCAAUGAACUUCAGUCCAUAGGCCUCAACAUAACGCUUACCCAUAUACUUAUUCUGUAAAGCCUCGCAAUGGCUUACCAUUAGUGGUAAGUCUCAUCCCUUAGUAGCGAGACCGUACCUUUCAGUUUCUGCUUUAGCGUACACUCAAUGUCGUUCAGAAUCCUUUCCGUAGCCUCUAACCAAUACUCUGCCAUGGUGGGGGUCGUCCCAACAACUCCCCUGAAUAACUUGGCUCUGUUAGUUCGGAGCCUCUCAGCAAUGGUCCCGUGAUUUUCAAAUCCACUUUGGUCCCUAACAACAUACUGUAGCACCCUAAGCAUGGCCUGUGACACAGUAUCGUCAGCAGCUCUUGAUGGUCCUCCUUCAUAGUUUGCGUGUUCUCGACCUAGUUAACCACUGGCUCGAGUUCGAUAACGGGCUCAAGUGUGAGCACUUGUGACGCAGAUAAAUCUAUUUGGGUCCCUAGACCUUGCUCACUGUGAGCUCUCAUACCCCUAGUAUGAACGCCUUAAGUACUCAUCUUUUUGUUAUCGAAUUCUUAAGUUUUAUGUAAUUUUAUCUAACAAUUAGAAACAAGCUUUAAUUAUCAAUUCAUAAUGUUUUAGUUCUACAGUUUCAUCACUAGAGUAUCUGUAUCUAUAGUUUUCAAAGUCUAGAGUUUCACAGUGUAGUUUUCAAAAUCUAUAGUUUCAGUAUCUACAGUAUACUAUAGUUUCAUAUCAGAACUUAGUAAGGCAGAAGUACUUAUCUGGGCUAGCUUCGGAGCCUCGAUAUUUUUAGAAUAGAAUAAUUUUUUUAACCAAAGUAUGGAUUUUUCCCAAAAUCACUAUCUGAGUUUUUGAACCAGGCUCUGAUACCACUAAUUGUAACCUCCUAAAUCUAGCCUAAAUGUUAUAGCCGAAUCUCGAAGAUCACAUUAGCCAUGACAAUGGCGUAGUAAAAGCAUUUAGAAGCUUUUCUCUUUUAAAAGUCGCCUUUGCAAAAUGUCUUUGAGUCUUGUUUUAAGUAAAACCAAAAUUUAAUUGAUAUCGUUUAAUUUUUGAAAAACUCAAGUAUUGAGAGAGUAUUAGGAAAACAUCGUAAUUCAAUUAAAACAUUGCAGCGAACAAAUUUCUAUAUCUAAAAUUCAUUUUUCAUUUUGAAAACAUAGAUUAAUAUACAUAUUGUAAAAUAUUAUUUUCGUGAGAAAAUUGUGUCGUGUAAUGGAAAGUUAGUAUUGAGUUUUUGAAAACAUCAUUAAUGAGCUUUUUAUUAUUUUAUAUAAAAUCCAUCUUAAAUUGUUAUUUUCGCAAAUCCUUUAUAUGAUAGUUUUUAAAACAUAAACCAUGCAGAAAAAUCGCAAUCCAAAGUCCAAAAAAAACCCAAAGUCCAAGUCCAAAGUAAUAAAACAAAUCCUAGAAUAUCAAAUACCAAUAAAUAUAAUUUUUUUUGAAAAAUUAUCAAGAGCGCCUCCGUAGCCGAGCCCAUCCUAACCUCAAUUAUCUAAAAAAAAUUAGAAUUUAAAUGGGUGAGCUUAAAAAACCCAGUUUGGGUUACCAAUAAUAAUAACAUAAUUUAACUCAUAACAACAUCAAUUUAAGAAAAUCAUAAAUUGCCAAAUAUUCAUUCACAAAAUCAGAUAUGACAGAAUGCACAAUGACGAUGUCAAUGCAACCCUUUUCAGAAAACAGUACAAAUUUUUAGAAAACAUAUCCUACCCACCUCCGCUACACACCAUAAAGAGUUCCCUAUAACUCAUCCAUCCAAUAACACACCAAUAAUGUGGACAAGCCACCAGAUAAUGCAGCCGAGCUGCCAGAAACAGAAUAAUGUGGUCAAACCACCAGAUAUUGCAGAUUUACUGCCAGAUACAAAAUAUUGUGGACAAGCCGCCAGAUAAUGUAGAUUUGUUGUCAAAUACUUCCUCCAUACAUAUUUUCCCAACCCCAUGCAUGUGAUAUGGCAUACAAAACAGAUUUUCAGUAGGCAUGCUUUACAUGCGAAUCAAAAAUAUCGGAAUACGACAUGCUUAACAUGCAGAUCAGAUCUCGUAUAUAUUUUAUCAUAAUGGCAUGUUUAACAUGCGAAUCAGAAGAUCAGAAUAGUAACAUAUUUUUCAUACGAAUCAGAACAUCGAUAAUCAUAUUUUCACAUCAUUUGCAUAUGCAUAAUCCAAUAAUCAUAAAUCACAUGUCAUGAGUAAUAGAAAUCACAAAAUUACAUAUUUUAUAGAAAUCGCCAAAUCACAAUCAUUAUCACAGAUCUGAAGUUUCAGGAACUUACUUGAUAUUCUCUUUUAUCGAAUCUUAGAUCAAUCCUUAAGAAGACUUUUGUGCUCACCCAAUAUUUCAUUAUUCAAAGAAUAAUAUUAACAAUAAUAUUUUAUUACUUAUUAAAUUAUUUUUAUCAAUAUUAUCAUCAACCAUCAUUAUUAAAAGUAAGUGCCCACACCUUGUAAAUACAAUUGCACAAAUCCCAAUUCCACUUCGAAAGGGAAGAGUUCGAUUCUAAAAUCACCACGGCUUUGACCAAAUAAUCGUGUUAGUACGUAUUUAAUAAAUAAAUAACCCUUGAUUAAAACCGAUUGUGAUUCAGUGAGACUUACGCAAUUGAUCGUCAAAUCACACACUUCUACAAAUGGAAUACGAUUCUGGGAUUUUUUUAAUAGAACUUCAUGAAGGUAUGGUAAACAAAGUGUUAGUAACAUCCUAAUCAAAAUAAUAGUGUAACACCUCUACUCGUAUCUAUCGCCGAAAUAGGGUUACGGAGCAUUACCAUUAAAGCAUAACUUAAAAAAAUUCACAUUUAAUCAUUUCUUAAAUCAUGGUAUAAUUCAUUCAGUCAUAAACAUAUUGUCCCUUAUUCGAGCCCUCGAGGCCUUAGAAAUACUUUAGAAACGAUUCGGGACUAAAUCGGAAACAUUUGAAACAUUAAGGAAAAAGAUAGCAAAUUUCAUACUGCAAAGGGUCACACGGACGUGUAACAUACAGAAUAUGGACACAUAGCAGUGUUCCAGCCCAUGUCCAUGCCCGUGUAACUCUCUAACUUGGGUCACACGGCCAAGCCACACGUUCAUGUGCUAGGCCGUGUAACUAUCGAAAUGGCCUCACACGCCCGUGCGCUAGGCCGUGUGUUAGGCCAUGUAACUGCCUAACUUGCAACCUUUAAAACCUACAAAGGACACACGGCCAUGUCACAUGGUCGUGUGUCACACACGAUUGAGACACAAACCCGUGUUUUAGGCCGUGUGGACAAGAAAAUGGCUAAAAUCAAGCCAUUUCUUUCACCCUUCCCAAGCAUAAGCCUAAAUACUUUUGCACCUAUGAUCAAGGCUUCUAAACAUGCUCAAAACCUACAUAAAAAGGUCCAUACAAUAGUCUAAUAAUCCAUACAACCAAUAUGUCACUUAGACACCUCAAGCACAUACAUCAAACAUACCUAAACAUGUGCAUAUUUAACCAUUUAUCAACUAACUUGUUUCCAUGCAUGGCAAUGGCUACAAGGACCCAAAGUCAUUUUUUAAAUUUAACUCGAAUAAAUAUAUUUGAUUUAAUUCGAAUUUCAUCUCAUUCGACUCAAUUCGAGAAAAUUUCAAAUCGAGUUAAGAUGAUAAAAUAGGAUUCGUCAACUCGAUUAACUCGAAAUUUUUUCAUUCGAUUCAAUCGAAUGCUUACUCUUACCAGUAACAAAUAAAAUUUCAAUUUUAUCAUUAGAGUGCGUUUGAGAUCAUACCCCGACAUGAUAACGGCUUUCCUCGCCUACAGGACCUUCUGCUACUAAGAACAUAUUGAUGCAGGUCAUCAACAAAUAUAUUGAACUUUUUAUGCUAACUUAAGCGUCAACAAAUAUAUUUUUUAAACUUUAUAUAAUUCAAGAAAAUAAUCUUCAAUGAAUUUGAAUACAUAGUUAUCCUUUUGAACUUUAACUUUUAAAUAAUUUUUAUUUUUUAAAAUUUGAUUUAAUAAUUUUAUAAAUUUCAAUAAUGCUAUUAUAAAUUUAUCAUUUUAAAAAAAAUACUUUUUUAAUUUUUAAAAAUAAGUUUUGAAAUGAAUGAACCUCCAGUAAAAAAUAAAAAAUUCUUUUAAUUUUUAAUUAUUUACUUUUUGUUGAUGUGGCAACCGACGUGGCAGUACGUCAACAGCUCUCACUGACAUGGAGUGCCAUGUCAGCGCUCUUAACGGUCUAAGACGAAAAACAUUAGUCAAAGGGCCUAAUUGAUGCAAUUUGAAAGUUUGUGGGCUUAAUUGAGUGUAGUUUUUUGUGGAAGGACUUAAUUGGUUUUUUUCGAAAGUUUAGGGGCUUAUAUACCCCUUUAACCUAUUUUAAAUAAUGAUUACAUAAAGUAAAAUUAUAUUAUAUGUUGAAAAUAGUACAAAUAUUUUAAUAUUAUUAAAAAAUUGAUCUAGAAAAUAUCAAAUUUUUAAUAUGAUAUUUGAAAAUGUCUUUUUAUUAUAUUUAAAUUGUUAAAUAAGUUAAUAUAUUUAAAUAAUAUUUAACAAUUAAAAAAAGAAUUUAAAAAUUAAUUGCAAUAAUUAAAAAUAUUUUAUUUAAAAACUAAUUAAAAUUAAACACAUAAAAUCAUAUAAAACAUAUGUUAUUAGAAACUAGUAAAUUAAAACAUAGAACAAAUUAAAAAAAAUUGUAAUAGAAGGAUAAAGUUAACAAUUUGUAAUUAGUUAAAACUUAUUAAAUAGAAGUAACUAAAUUCAGGGGCUAAAGUAUAAAUUAAUCCAUUGGAUUAUUGUUAAAAAUAAGAUAUAAAUAUUCUCAAUUAAAAAUACUCGGGGCUAAGUUGUGAUUCAGAAAGUUGCAACGAUAGAUUCUAGAACAAUCGUUUACUCCUUGCUCAAAAAAUUCUUUUUAAAAAUAUAAUUAAAUUUAAAUAAAAAUUUUGUCACGUUAAAUACAUACAAGUUUCUAUCCGACCCGUACCCGUCUGAGAAGUAUAGAUUGAGUUCGUUCACGUAUUUUUCCUUCUUCUGGGAGUUGCGUCGUUUGUUUUUUGCUUCAACCGCGGCUUUUGGUUUUCCCAUUUUUCCUAAUUUCAAGAUAUGGGUAAGCUUCCUUCUUCUUCAUCACUUCUAAAUGGUCGAAGGAAUCUUUCUAUUCUAUACCCUUCUUUUUUUUCUUCUUCUUUUAACACCAUUGCUACCCACAUCGAAUCUUUAAGUAAGGAUUCCAUGCCUGUAAGGGGAUUGCAGAAAAAGCAUGAUCGCUUCCAUAAUCUUAAUGGUGCUUUAUCUUUAUUUAACAAGAUGAUUGACGAGUGCCCUAAGCCUUCAAUCGUGGAGUUCUCUAUAUUAUUACAGGCCAUUGUUAGAAUGAAACAUUAUGCGCUUGUUGUUUUUCUGGGUAGCCAGAUGGAAUUACGGGGAGUUUCACAUAAUGCUUAUUCUUUCACCAUCUUGAUUAAUUGCUUUUGUCAUUUAGGUAAAGUUGAUUUUGGGUUUUCUGUUUUGGGGAAAAUGCUCAAGUUAGGUUUUGAACCUAAUGUUGUAACUUUGUCCACCUUGAUUAAUGGACUUUGUAAUCAAAGCAGGGUUUCUCAGGCUGUGGAUUUGUUUUAUGAAAUGAUCGAAAAAGGGUAUCGACCUGAUUCAUUUGCUUGCAAUACAGUACUUAAUGGGUUGUGCAAGUCUGGUAACACUGGUCGAGCUGUUAGAAUGAAACAUUAUGCGCUUGCUGUUUCUCUGGGCAGCCAGAUGGAACUAUGGGGAGUUUCACAUGAUGCUUAUUCUUUCAACAUCUUGAUUAAUUGCUUUUGUCAGUUAGGUAAAGUUGAUUUUGGGUUUUCUGUUUUAGGGAAAAUGCUCAAGUUAGGUUUUGAACCUGAUGUUGUAACUUUGUCCACUUUGAUUAAUGGACUUUGUAAUCAAAGCAAGGUUUCUCAGGCUGCAAGUUUGUUUGAUGAAAUGAUCAAAAAAGGGUGUCGACCUGAUUCAGUUGCUUACAAUACAGUACUUAAUGGGUUGUGUAGGACUGGGAACACUGGUCGAGCUGUUAAGUUUCUAAGGACGAUGAAUGAAAGAGGUUCCGAACCCAAUAUUAGAGCAUAUAGCACCCUUAUUGACUGUCUUUGUAAGAAUGGGUUACUAAAUGAGGCUCUCGACCUCUUCUCUGAAGUGAAGGUUAAGGGCAUUAGACCAAAUAUUGUUAUUUACAAUUGCUUAAUUCAUGGUAUGUGUAAUUCAGGCCAGCAGCAGGAGGCAACCAAGCUUUUGAAUGAAAUGGUGGGUAACAAUGUUUCUCCUGAUAUUUUCACGUAUAACAUAUUGAUUGAUGCACAUUGCAAGGAGGGGACAAUUUCGGAAGCUGUAAAUAUCUUUAAUGCGAUGAGAAAGCAAGGUGUCAAGCCUGAUGUUGUCACCUAUAAUAUAGUGGUUGAUGCAUGGUGCAAGGAGAGGCUAAUUUCUGAAUCUUUGGAUAUGGUUCACACAAUGAGAAAGCAAGGCAUUGAGCCUGAUGUUGUCACGUAUAGUACAUUAGUUGAUGCACAUUGCAAGGAGGGGAGGGUUUCUGAAGCCGAAGAUAUUGUUGACACAAUGAGAAAGGAAGGCAUUGAGCCUGAUGUUGUGACGUAUAAUAUAUUGGUUGAUGCGUAUUGCAAGGAGAGGAGUAUUUCUAAAGCUGUAGAUACCAUUGCCACAAUGAGAAAGCAAGGUGUGGAGCCUGAUGUUGUCACCUAUAAUAUAUUUAUUGAUGCACUUUGCAAGAAUGGGAUGGUUUCUGAAGCUGAAUGUAUUGUCGACACAAUGAGAAAACAAUGCAUUGAGCCUAAUUUUGUCACAUACAGAACUCUUAUGUUGGGUAUGUGUCAAUUAGGGAGAGUUUCAACUGCAUGUGAACUUUUAAGAAAGAUGCUUACAUCUGGAGAAGUUCCAGAUCUAAUGACCAUUUCGAUUUUGUUGGAUGAUUUUUGCAAAAGAGGUAAACUUGACGAGGCAUUGGAAUUUUUUCAAGCAAUGCGGAAUAGUGGGUUGAAACUUGAUACCGACUCUUAUAGUGUUGUAAUUGAUGGCUUGUGCAAAGCUGGGCAAAUUGAAGUUGCAAAGGAAUUAUUUCAUGAACUCUCAGUCAAUGGUUUAAAACCAAAUGUUUACACAUAUGAUAUUGUGAUUAAUGGAUUAUGUAAAGAGGGAUUGCUAGAUGAAGCAUACCAGUUGUUUAGAAGCAUGGGAGAUAAUGAUUGUUUGCCUGUUGGCUGCUGUUAUAAUGUAAUGAUCCAGGCGUUUCUUCGAAAUAGCUAUACCUCAAAAGCAACGGAACUUCUUACAGAAAUGGUUGGAAAGGGCUUUUGUGCAGAUUUAUGCACUGCCAUCUUAUUUGUGGAUCUCAUCUUGCAAUCUAAUGAAUCAAUUUUGAUCUGAAAUGUUUCACUAUUAGUGUAAAGAUUGUCACAUUGCGAAUGUGAAUCAAUUUGUUCGGUAACCAAUUGUACUUCUGUGAUAAGUUAAAGUUUCUGGAAACUACAGUGAGUAUCAAAGUCUAUUUUCAAUUUUGUUAAUGGACUUUAAACAUUAAGGAUGAAGCAAAUAAGUGUUAUACACCAUGUUUCACCCUUCACUAGUGAUUUUCUUGAGAAUGUUUUCUUCUUAGAUCUUUGAAGUAAGUUUCUUUAUUGGGUUGGCUGUUUCCUGCCAAGCCGAGUUUUUAUUCAGCACCAAUGACUAUUAUGCGCAAAUCCUCAACACUUCAUUGCAAAAGCUCGAAGCUUCACUUGCUAAAAGCUGAAGCAAUCGGCUGGUUUCAAUUGGCUGCUCCAGCAGGUGCCUCUUUGAUUCUUUCUUUCUUUAACUUGGUUGUUAUAAGAAGUAACUAAAAUUGACAAUAGAAAUGCAAGAGAUUCCAACUUUCCCACCGCAAGUGGCCCAGACAACUUGUUAUAUACCUUGUCUGUUCUCACCAUCAUGCCUAAACAGGCUGCUUUAACGCAUACUUUAGUAGGUUUUAUGAUUCUCCCCUUUGAACUUUAAGUAUGGUGCUUUUAUCUUUGCAGGAUGCCUGUCAUGAAUGAUGUAAUUAACAUGAUCAUCUUCCAUUCUCAAAAGAAAAAAAAAAGACCAUAUUCCUUGCAUGGGGUAUCAGUGCUAGAGCUGAUGAUUAUACUCAGGAUGGAAGGUACCUCAGAGUGGAUGCAUUCUUAACUCAUCUUAGCUGAUCAAUAAAAUAUUGCUUUCUUGUUUCUAAAAUUUUUUCAAAAUCAAUUUUUUGAAGGCAGCAUGAGCAUUUCUCUGAAUAAAAUAAUGGUGCUCCUCCAGUCCCAGUCAUGAACUAGCAGGAAGCGCAUCUUGGAGUCCUGUCCAUAGUGAAGGUAUUGUUUUGUACCUUAAAUGUUUGGAGACAUGUUGCUUCCAGUCAUAUUUUUCUAGGUGGUGCACUAAAAAGAUCGUUGAUGAUAGGGAUGGAGGAACUUCAGUAGCAGCUGCUGCCAGGUUGUCUUCUCCUGCUAGCAAUAAUCCUAACCAAGCCACCUGCGAUUUGGUAACUCAGCAUCUCCUUCAAGUCAAAAGGUGGAGACUUUCGAUGAAUUUGAUCCACGUGUUUCAGUUUCAGGUAUGAAUUUUGUAUUUAAAUACCAUGGUUUGUAUGCUCCAAUCUUCCAAUGUUAUCAGUUGGAUGAUCAUGGUCUGAGUCUGGUGCCCUUAUUGCUCAUCCAAUAUGACACAGUUGAUAUGGUGACAUUUUGGCUUGAACAAUCUCCUUGCAAAAUAUUAACUUAUGAGUUGUUUAAGUAAUAAGUUUGGUAUCCUAUGUUGCUUCACAUUCCAUUCCAUUUCAUUUUUUAUUUUGCUGCAAAGUGUAUAUUUCCUGCAGAAUUGAUUUAAUCAUUUUAUUUUUUGAUUGUUUUCUGGUACUUAAACUUUUGCAAUUGGUUUUAUACUAGUGGCAAUUUUAAUUAUUGUACAUGAUAACUUUAAAUCAAAACAUAAAAGAUUGCUACAAUGGCUUCUUGUUUCAAAAUUUGACUUUUCUUUACUCAUUUGAAAUUAAAUUACUAGUUGGAGUUUCAUGUGAUUGUAUGAGCAAAAUCUCCUAGUUUUGAGGAACCUAAAUUGGAUUCAUCUUGAUGCUAUUGCAUUUAUCCCUUUAACCUGGAACUUAUUUUAAUCUUUUGCUCAUCUGUUUCAACUGCCCCGAUCCUGUUGCCACACCUCCCCUGCCCCUGCUAAUGCUGUUCCUACUGCUUCGACCGUUUCUGAACUAGACUGUCUUGGUGCACUGUAGGAUUCAUUGGCCUUUGUGCCAACUAUACUCGAGACCCCUGCUGCUAAGGCUGAUGCCCUUCUAAAUCUGGUGCUUUACCCACCUUUUCUGAUAAUCAACAGGCAUCUAACUUUGGAAAUCAGGUAGAUAUGAUUUGUUUAAUCUCAGACUUAUUAAUCAACCUUUUUCUUUGGUUAAUGUACAAGGAUUUCAUUCCAUCUGUCUGCAAUAUAUGCCUAAAUGGCACCGUGAAUAUGGAUAUGCUGUUCUGUUGUUGCCUUGUUUGUUUUCAUUUGAUUUAAGUAUCUUUAAUUGAAUCACCAUGUAAGACAGCAUGGAUAGUUAAAAUUGAAAUUACUUUGCAUAAUCAUCUUUAUCAUCUGCAUAUUUACUAUAGAAGGGUAACGUAAAAAGGUUUCAGUGUGAAUUUCAAAAUCUACUAGAUCAGCUGCUAACAUUUACCAAUCCGCACAGCCAAGUGGUAAUCCAUAAGGCCGGCCUGUGCAACACAGUGCUAACCCAUAUGGCCAAAAUGGGUUGCCAAGUACCAAACCCUGUGGCCAGCUAGCACAACCAAAUGCUAGUCCAUACAGAACCUGCACGACCAAAUGCUAAUCCAUAUGACCAACCUGCACAGCAACAUGCUAAUCCAUAGGCUCAAACUGCACGGCCAAAUGCUAAUCCACACGGCCAAACUGCUCAGCCAAUGCUAAUGCAUAUGGCCAACCUGUACAGCUAAGUGCUAAUCCAUAUGCCCAACCUACAUAGUCAAGUUCGAAUAAUGGAUAUGGCAAAUUUACCUCCCACAGUGUCUGUGGCCCCCCAAAUUCCCGGGUCUGCUGCACAGGCUCCUGUCAGUUCACAAAUGGCUGCUCAACCUCAAAGCCCUGCCGUACCAGCUGCUCAGCUUAACACUGGAAACGUUUUUUAUGGCUGGAUCUGCUGUGCCAGUUGGUUCGCCCUCUGCUCCUCAAACCACAAAUGAAUCAGGUGCACAUAGUAACAACAAUGUCCUGGGAGGCUUCUUUUCACUACCUGGAUCAUACACUUCAAUGGCACAACAGACGGCUCCUCCCUUGUCAACAGCAGCACCUGUUAUAGUUCCCAACUCUCAGAGGAUAAAUUUCAGCCCAAGUCAAAUGUUUGGGCUGAUACAUUGAGCAGUGGACUGGUCAAUUUAAACAUAUCUGGAGGUAAGUACUAACCUCUCUUUCUAAAUAUGCCCCUCCAACAAGAAUUAACAUCGUAUGACAAAAGCAUUUUAUUUUCUAUAUGCAAUGGUAAAAAAAACCUUUAUUUUCUAUAUGCAGCUAAAAAGAACCCAUUGUCUGAUAUAGCGGUGGACUUUGGUGCAAUCAAUCAGAAGGAAAAUAGGAUGGAAAAGCCUGCCCUGACUGCAGUGACAUCUACUGUCACGAUGGGUAAAUCUAUGGAAUCUGGUUUUGGGAUUGGCUGUGCUGGUGCUAGUGUUCUCAGAGCUCCAGAGGAUCCCAUGGUGGGUUCCAGCAUGGGCAUGGGGUAUGGGAGUGGGUGAUGGUCCUAUCCAAGGCAUUGGCAUUGGAGUUUAGGCUAUGAUGGUAUGAAUCGGCAACCUAUGAGCAUGGGAAUGGGGAUGAACAUGGGCAUGAAUCCAGGCAUGGGGGUGAAUAGGCAGCCUGAUGAUAAGUGGUGGUGGUGGUGGUGGUGGUUACCAAUGAGAAAUCAUUGCCUCAGACAUUCAGUUUUUUUCAGUAACAAUAAUAGUUUUAGUAUAUUUACUGGGAAGAUGCAAGGAAACACUACCCAGUUAGAAAUCCAAGUAAUCACCUUGCGUAAUCAUAUCUAAUGUUGGAUUUUUAACCUUUUUGUUUUUAAACUUAAGAUAUCACAAUUGGGAAUCUGAUUAUAGCUUUGACUGUGAAAUGUGUGUUUAAUAUUUUGAAGAGAUGCAUCUCACUUUAUCCUUCUAAACCAAGCAUUGUCAGUAAUUAGAUUAGAAAAGAAAAGAUGAAGCUCAUUACACUUCGGACGCAUUUCAAAGUCAACUGCAUUAAGGUUAUAGACGGAUAACGAAAAUUUGCAAUCUGAAAAAAAAUAUAUACAUAUAUUUGACUGGAUUUUUUAUGAGAGAAAUUUAGAAUACUAUUAAUAGUACGGAAGACAAUAAAGAGGCAAUCUUCAACAUAAGACCUCUUAAGCCUCUGGGUCUAGAUGGAAAACCAGUCAUUUUCUUCUAAGCUUGUUGGACUGUUGGUAUUAAAAGCUUAUCUCAGUGUUUUCAGAACUGGGAAAAUGUUGAAAGAAAUGAACACCAUCGACACUGAAGCAAAUCAAUCUAGAGGUGGUAAAGUUACUUUAGACUAGAUUUGUCCAUGGUGGAGUGACUCCAAUUUAAAUUAAUAUAAAACUAUAAAAAUAUUUUAUUCAAUUUUAAUUAUAAAAAUAUAUAAAUAUUAAUAUAAAAAUAUAUAUACUAUUAUUAUUAUUAUUAUUUUGAAAGGAGAUAUUUUAAACAAUAAUAUAAAAGCUUAUGAACAAGUUAGAUUAGACUUGGGCCUCGGCUUAAAAUUUUAUUUAAAAUCAAGUUCUAACCUGAUUCAUAGACAUCUUUAUUUUAGAUCCAUCAACCUUUGCAAGGUUGUUUACAAAAUUAUUGUCAAGGUAAUGGCGAAAAACCUUUGUAAUGGCCCAAAUUUGCCCGGCCCGAUACAAAUAUUAGAACCCAAAUAAAUAAAUAAAUAAACCAAAUAAAUGUCCAGCUUAUUACAACCAAGCCCAAACCCAAUUACAAAACCCAAAAUUCCCAAGCCUAAAUUGUUAACCCAAUACUUAACCCUCCAGGCCCAAAUCACUUAGCCCAAAUUAGCCUAACAUGGGGACAUCAGAAACCCUAGGCAACAGUUACCGCGCCGCAAUCGAGCACGAGCCCCCUCUCGUGUGUGUGCGCGAGCCUCCGUACGAGCACGCCCCUCCCACGCAUAGCCCCCGUACAUGCUGGCCCUCGUAUGACCAUGUACCUGCAAAGGACCAACAAACAAGGAAAAAACAGAACGCAACAAACGCAAAAGGAAUAGCAGAGAAAAAUAGGAGGAAUUUAGAAAAAUUACCUGUAAAAUUUCUAUUGUAUUUCCGGCUAUAUAAAGUUGUUUUCGAUUUUUGUAAAGGGAUCCCCUUUUUUUGGAACACGCACACUGAAUGUAAAAAACACACGCAUUUUCAAUACAAUUGGAAGAAAGGUGACUUCCCAGUAUUUUUCUUUUUUACUGGUUAUCAGACUCAUUUUCUUUUAUUUCUUUUUUCUAGUUUUUAUGUUCUUCAAUCUUUGUUUAAAAUAAAAACAAUAAAAAGGAGAGAGAGAGGCAUACCUUGACUGGACCUUUCGCUCUCCCUCCGUUGUCAUCGGAGUUUGGAGCAGGGUUCGGGGAGCCUUCGAAGGAGGCGAUGAUCCACCGAGCGGCGCAGAGGGAGAGUGUGCUUAGGUUUUCUUUUAUUUAUUUUUUUCUUUUUUCCUUCAAAUGGUAGAUUAGGUUAGUUUAGGUUUUUUGUUUUUUAGGUAGAUUAUUAAAACGACGCCGUAUGAUAGCCCUCAACCCGCGCGGUGACCCGACCCGAGGGAAGGAUCCGCUCGCUUUGGGUCUGAUGGGCUAUUUGAGCACUGAACCCCUCCGCAUUUCGUUUUUAUUUCAGUUUAGUUUUUCUUCAAUUUUUUUAAUUGUUACCUUAUGUUUGAUUCUGAUUUCAUCCGAGUCCUCAGUCAAAUGACGUCGUUUCACUGUAGGAUUUGAAUGUCCAGAUCCAUGCGUUUAAUUGCUGCUUUAGUCCCUAUGAUUUCUGAUGAUUUUCAAUGCAGACGUUGGCUCAUUUAUUUCAAAUUAACCCUUAAAAUUUUGUUUGAUUUCAAAAUAGGUCUGCUUUCAUUGAACUAAUUGGUUUAUUAUCAUUAAUUUCAUUUGUUGUAUUAUUUUAAUAAUAUAUUUAUAUAUAUUAGUUAAACUAAUUUUUUUAUAAAUUCGUAAUAUUUCAUAUUUUCAUAUAUAUUUAUAUAUAGCAUGUAUUUUAGUAUACGUAUGUAUAUAUAAUAACCUAUCAUUAAUUUCAAAUGAUAUUUUUAUGCAUAGAAAUCUUAUUCCUUUUAAAUUUGUCAUUUUAUUUCAUUUCAUUUAUUUAACUUUUGUAUAUUAUUAUUAUGCAUGUAUAUUAUUUGGUAUAUUAUAUAUUUUUCUUAUGUAUUUGCUUUAAAUUCGUUUUGUUAUUACAUUUUUUUUACAUAGUAUUUUUUAUUUUCCUUUAAAUCUAUUGCAAACUCGAAUAUAUACAUUAUGACGAAAUUUUAUACAUAUAACUUAUCGUACAUUGAUAAUUUUGCAUCCUCUCCCUUGUAUGUUUUUUCAUUUUAUUUUGUCUUAAAACUUAUUAUACUUUGUUUGUAUUGAUUUGCUUGAUAUUCCUUAUAAUUCAUUUGCUUUUAAUGUUAGUGUUGACACCAUUUUUUGAAUGAAAACGAGGUCGACUUGGAUUUUGAAAAUGAAAACGAAAAAAACGGGAGUCGCCACCUAUCCUUUUUGAUAAGGUGUGAUCAGUUCACCUUGAAAAGUGGUUGCUUUUAAUAAACGAUUUGAUUUUAUUAAAACAACGGUUUUGGUCCACGAAAGUCAGAAAAUAGGUUCGGGAGUCGGUUACGCACGAGGAAGGAUUAACACCCUCGAUACGCCCAAAAUUGGUACCUAGUUGAUUACUUAAUGUUUUAGUGUUGAAAAUUGAAAACUUUAAAGAAAUUUAAAAUACGAUCCUUAAAAAAAACUCGAAUGGCAUAGAUUAAAAUUAAAGGGGAUAUUCGGCGAUUUGGUUAAACAAGAAAUCGAAACCCAGCACAUUAGGGCACGUUCCUCGAAUUUCCAAACGCAAAACAUUGCCUCAUUUGAAAUUUUUAAAAGGAUAUUUAACUAUUUGGUCGGUUGAGAAAAAUCGAAACCCAACACAUUAGGGCACGUUUUCUCGAAUUUUCAAACGCAAAACAUUGCCUUAUUUUGAAAACUUUUUCUUCUAAAAGGAUAUUUAGCUAUUUGGUUGAACGAGAAAAAUCGAAACCCAGCACAUUAGGGUACGUUUUCUCGAAUUUCCAAACGCUAAAUAUUGCCUCAAUUAGAAAUAUUUUUCCUUUUGAAAUAUGAUAUUUAUAUGCAUAAUGGAAUAUUAAACAUGAUAGUGUGAAAUUAAAAAAAUGAAAAAAAAACGAAUAAUAAAAUAAAUAAAUCAUGCAUAUAUCAUAGGAAAUAAAUAAAUAAAUAAACUAAAGCAUAAAGAUGGACAUAUAAAUGAAUACAUAAGUGAACAUAAAAUUAAAGGAAAAUAUAUGAAAAUUAUAAAAUAUAAAAAAAGGUAGGUACAUAUAAGGGAAAUAUGCAUAUGUAUGUAUAUACAUAAAAUUAUAAAAAUAUAAAAAUAUAUAUACAUAUAUAUGUUUUAAGGAUAUUAAAUAUAAAAGGUUAUAUAAAUAUAUACGUGUAUAUAUAUAUGAUUAUGAAAAUAUGGAAAAAUAUGUAGAUAUAAAUGAGAAAAAAAUAAUAAUAAUCAUAAUAGAUUUAGUAAUAAAAUAGCCAAAAUAACGAAAAAAGGAUCGAAUUGAAAAUUUAAAACAAAAUCUGGGAUUAAAUCAUAAAUAAAUUAAAGGGGAAGGACCGUCUUGAACGCGCAUGUAGCGUGGAAGCACUAAAAAGGAAAUUUAACCUUCCUCCAAAAUGACAUCGUUCCAGCGGGGACUAAAUGAAAUAAAAGAAAAAUAAUGGGGUCAAAAUUAAAAGUAAAAAUAAACUGCAUUAAAAAAUAGAAAAUACGGAAGGACGAAGGCGGAAAAUAUCCCAAAAGCUGAAAACGCGCGGAUCCUGUAGCGGGUUGGGUCUCAUGCACAGGUCUGAAAGUGAAAUGACGCCGUUUUGUACCUGAAGGGCUUGCCCAAAACGACGUCGUUUUGGGGGGUUAUAAAAACCCAAUUUGGUAAGAAAAAAUUUAUUUGCCCCUUUUUGUUUUAAAAAAAAAAAGCUUAAAAUUCUCUCCCCCCUUUCUUUUUCCGUCCAAACCCCGACCUAUGGUCCAGCCAAUCGCCGCCGUGCCGGUCGUCGGCACCACCGUAAGCGGCGGUCGGAAGGUGAAAGGUUGGGUUUUUAACCCCGUUUCAAAGGCCGAUUGUAGAUCGAACCUUCAUGGUCCUAAGGCCAAGGGAGAAAAUCCCCGAAAAGUCACUUUCCCUGUCCAUUUUCGGUGACCCGAAGGACUCCGGCAACACCCCAAACACGGCGUCCAGGUAUGUUUCUUUUUUAUUUAUCCUUUAGGCUUAUUAACUGUGAAAGAAAAGAAAGAGCAAAAAUAGAAUGGAAUCGAAGAGGAAAAAGACUAAAAAUAUCACCUUUCAAAUUGAUUUUUUCUUUUCUAUUUCUUCAAUAUUUUUUAAAAAAAAAUCGGAACCCCUUUACAAAGAUUCAGUCUCGGCUUUAUAGCCGAUUUACAUAAGUUUUUUAGUCUAUUUUUUUCUUGCUGAUGUUUCCUUUCUGUCAUUGCAGGCAUGGGCGCACGUGGAUGGAGAUGGCAGUGGUAGUUGGCGGUGGUUGCUGGCAGAGUAGUGAGCAGAAGACCAAAGGUCAGAAGACCCUAGGAGCGGCGCCUAGGGUUCUUCUAUUUUCUGCUAGGUUUUGUUCUGUUUUGGGUUUUGGGCUGAGGGUAGGCUAUUGGACCUAUUCGGGUUUGGCAUGUGGGCCGAUUCUACUGGGUUAGGUCUAUUUUAAGUGGGUAGUUGGGUAUUGGGUUAUUGGACUAGGGCAAAAUGUUGGGUUGUACAACUACCCCUAUUUGCUCGUUGUCGUGUAACGAGAACGGAAGAAAGAUCUAGAAAGACCAAUAUUUUGCCCGGUCUCGCCGAGUCUUAACUUCUUUGACGCUUCUCUUCGAGUAGCUUUAUUUCUAUCCACUGUGUCUUGUUGUUUCAAUCCAUUCAACUGUGCUUCAGAAAGAUCUGGCUUGUAGCUUUAAUCUUCUUCGCAACAAUUUCAGGGGGACGAGAUUCGUGGUUUUAGUCUGCUCCACUGUAACGUCGGGGAGAUAAGACUUGUAUCUUCAACCUGCUCCCUUGUAACUUCAUGGAGAUAAGGUUUGAUAUAAUAAGAUCCAAUUUGACCUACUGUAACUUCAGAGGUAUAUGAUUCAUUGUUUUAAUCUGCUCCACUGCAACUUCAGGGAAAUAGGAUUGGUAUCUUCUGUCUGCUCCACUGCAACUUCAGGGAGAUGAGACUGGAUGCGAUCUGCUCUACUGCAACUUCAGAGAGAUGAGAUAUGUGGUUUUAAUCCGCUCCACUGCAACUUCAGGGAGAUAGGAUUGAUUUCUUUCGUCUACUCCACUGCAACUUCAGGGAGAUAAGACUGGAUGCGAUCUGUUCUACUGCAACUUCAGAGAGAUAAGAUCUGUGGUUUUAAUCCGCUCCACUGCAACUUCAGGGAGAUAGGAUUGAUUUCUUUCGUCUGCUCCACUGCAACUUCAGGGAGAUAAGACUGGAUGUGAUCUGCUCUACUGCAACUUCAGAGAGAUAAGAUCUGUGGUUUUAAUCCGCUCCACUGCAACUUCAGGAAGAUAGGAUUGAUUUCUUUCGUCUGUUCCACUGCAACUUCAGGGAGAUAAGACUGGAUGCGAUCUGCUCUACUGUAACUUCAGAGAGAUAAGAUCUGUGGUUUUAAUCCACUCCACUGCAACUUCAGGGAGAUAGGAUUGAUUUCUUUCGUCUCUUCCACUGCAACUUCAGGCAGAUAAGACUGGAUGCGAUCUGCUCUACUGUAACUUCAGAGAGAUAAGAUCUGUGGUUUUAAUCCGCUCCACUGUAACUUCAGGGAGAUAGGAUUGAUUUCUUUCGUCUGCUCCACUGCAACUUCAGGGAGAUAAGACUGGAUGUGAUCUGCUCUACUGCAACUUCAGAGAGAUAAGAUCUGUGGUUUUAAUCUGCUCCACUGCAACUUUAGGGAGAUAGGAUUGAUUUCUUCUGUCAUGACCUGUAUAAUGAACCUAAUUAUGCCUAAUGAUUGGGAUGACAUGAUCAAAAUGAAUCAAAUGCUCCUAACUAGAUGUGUAUGAAUUAUAUUUGCAUGAAUGCAGAAAUGUUAUGAAAAAUGUUCUCGAUGCUUUAGUUGUUAUUGCCCAUUGUUCAACACGUCAGAAUGCUAUCUUGUCAGGUUGAUAAUGCUCAUUUCUUUCUUGGUCGGACUACCUCUACUGUAACUUUUAAAGUUCAAUCCUUUGUGAUUUUCGAAGUUAUACCCACCGUAAUUUUGGGAUUCAAAACCAUCCUCAUCAUACUGUAAUUUAGGAGUAUAAGAUCUGAAAACUUCUUGGUCUCGCACACCAUUUCCAAGGUGUCGUAGCAAAAGUUUAUGCACAAUUGCAAAAUUUUCUCUUCCGAGAGACCUCUUCUUAUCAUUCGGUGAUCAUUAUUUGUUUGUUCGUUGAAACUUUGUCAUCAAUAUGUCAUUUUUUUCAAUCCGUGUUUGGACGACAAAAUUUAGAAGGAUAGUCCUGACUUAGACUUUUCCUUUUAGACAUUUUAAACCUUAAAAUUGGUGUGUUCUAAACAACAGUCCUGUUCCAGGUUCCUACAUUAUUUAGAAUUUUCUAGAGUAAUAUGCAAAACACCUUUUGCUUGAACAUUCAGCCUAUUAAUCGUUAUUUCAGAUGUUUGAAAAAGAUUAUCAUAAUGGACAAACAAAAUGUUAUUGAGAACAAAUCUCAAAAUGAAUAAGUUAAUCAAGAUAGCAAAUUUUGCUAAGACAAGAUGAGAAAAGACAAUGGACAAGAUGGAAUUUUAUUGGGAGCAAAACUUGAGAUGAAUACAUUAAUCAAGACAACCAAUUUUGCCAAGAUUCAAAAUGAGUAAGAUGACGACAGGUGCCCCAGAUAUCGCAGCACAAGCCUCCCUGCAUAAGCUUUCUGAAAAUCAUUCUGAAUUUAAUAUGUGUUUAGGGAAUCUUCAGUAUUUUGUCGAUACCCCAAGAUGUUACCUACCCUUUUCUUGUUGAUUUAGGUAUAGCGAGACCACCGCAUGCCCCAGAUUUUGGUCAAAAUUUGAGUUGUCCCGAUCACCUCAUGUCCCGUCAAAAUUUGAGCCGCCUUUUCAAGUUUUCAACCCAAAUCCCCUUGGUCUCAAGGUGCCCUUUACGGGUUUUCACUUGGGCCCCCUUCCUUCAAGUGAAGUAUUUCUUAACCGAAUCCGAGUUUACAGGAUUUGGUAAGUUUUUACCAUCCAUCUCGCUCAAGAUCAAAGCUCUUCCAGAAAAGACCUUCUUUACAACAUAAGGACCUUCCCAAUUUGGCAUCCAUUUUCCUCUGAAAUCUUUUUGUAGAGGAAGAAUCUUUUUCAACACUAGGUCCCCCUCGUGAAAUUCUCUAGGACGAAAUUUUUUGUUAUAGGCUCGCAUCAUUCGUUUUUGAUACAUCUGACCGUGACGAAUAGCUUUCAGUCUCUUUUCUUCUAUUAAGUUCAGCUGAUCAUAUCGAGAUUGAAUCCAUUCGGCCUCAUCUAACUUUAGUUCAGCGAAUACCCGGAGAGAAGGGAUUUCAACCUCUAUGGGUAAAACUGCCUCCAUCCCAUAGACUAAAGAAAAUGGUGUUGCCCCAGUAGAGGUCCUAACAGAGGUACGAUAUGCGAUGAGAGCAAAAGGUAAUUUCUCAUGCUAGUCUUUGUAGGUUUCAAUCAUUUUCCCUACAAUUUUCUUGAUAUUUUUGUUAGCUGCUUCCACGGCACCAUUCAUUUUUGGACGAUACGGUGACGAAUUAUGGUGUCUGAUCUUGAACUGACUACAAACUUCCGCUAUUAAGUUGUUGUUCAAGUUCAACGUAUUGUCGGAUAUGAUUCUUUCAAGCAUCCCGUAUCGACAUAUGAUCUCUUUUUUCAAAAACCUGCUAACUGCUGAUUUCGUGACGUUAGCAUAUGAAGCAGCCUCAACCUAUUUAGUGAAAUAAUCGAUAACCACAAAGAUAAAAUGAUACCCAUUAGAAGCCUUUGAAGAUAUUGGCCCGAUGACAUCCAUUCCCCACAUAGAGAAAGGCCAUGGAGAAACCAUAACAUGAAGGGGUGAAGGUGGUGCAUGCAUUUUGUCACCAUAAAUUUGACAUUUAUGGCACCUUUUGGCAUAAUUAAUGCAAUCCCCUUCCAUGGUGGACCAAUAGUACCCAAAUCUCAUAAUUUGUCUGGCCAUCGUGAAGCCGUUGGCAUGCGUUCCACAGAUACCUUCAUGCACUUCUUCCAAAAUUUUCUUGGCUUCCACGGCAUCCACACAUCUUAACAGUACUUGAUCAUUCCUUCUUUUGUAUAACACUUCCUCAUCUAAAACAUAUUCAACGGUUAUUAUUCUCAGAGUUCUCUUGUCAUUCUCGGUUGCUUGGCUAAGGUACUCCCGAUUCUUCACGUACUGUAGGAUACUCUAAUACCAAGGACAAUCAUCUUUUCCUUCCUCUUUAAUAUUGUAGCAAUGAGCUGGGGUAUCAUAGAUACUCAUCUGAAUAGGCCUCAUUGCCUCAAGUCUAGUCUAUUCACCUGAAUCAUCGAAGCUAGAGUAGCUAAUGCAUCAGCCAUUUGGUUUUCCUCUCAUGGGAGAUAACAGAAGGUGAUAUCGUCAAACUCAUCAGCCAAGUCGAGGACCAGUUUUCUAUAAUCGAUUAAAUUAGGGUCUCUAGUCUCUCAUUCCCCUUUGAGUUGGUAUAUCACCAAUGCAGAAUCCCCAUAUACUCUUAGCACUUUGAUGUUUCGUUCAAUGGCUGCACGAAUGCCCAUAAUACAUGCUUCAUAUUCUGCCAUAUUAUUUGUGCAAUCGAAGUCUAACUUGCUAGCAACACGAUAAUGAUCUCCACUUGGGGAUACCAAGAUUGCCCCGAUUCCAUUACCUGUAGCAUUCGAAGCUCCAUCAAAAUUUAACUUCCAUACGUGCUCCAUUUGAGGAUUCUCUUCAGUGUUCGCCACAUACAUCAAGUCCUCAUUUGGAAAAUCGAAGUCUAAAGACUCAUAGUCUUCCAAAGCUCUACUAGCUAAGAAGUCAGUUAUCGCACUUCCCUUUACGGCCUUCUGACUUACAUAAACUAUGUCAAACUCAGAGAGCAGAAUUUGUCAUCUAGCUAUUCUCCCAUUUAAAGCAGUUGAUUCCAUCAUAUACUUUAAAGGAUCCAACUUUGAAGUCAGCCAAGGUGUAUGAUACAACAUAUACUGCCUUAGUCUUCGGGUUGUCCAGAUUAAAGCACAACACAACUUCUCAAUUGAUGAGUAUCUCAUUUCGCAAUCAGUAAAUUUCUUGCUGAGAUAGUAUAUUGCCCUUUCUUUCUUUCCCGUCUCAUCAUGUUGGCCCAAUACACAUCCCAUAGAAUUCUCAAACACUGUUAGAUACAGUAUCAAUGGCCUAUCUGGACUUGGUGGCGAUAGUACGAGAGUAUUAGCUAAGUAUUGCUUUAUCUUAUCGAAAGCCUUCUGACAUUGCUCAUCCCAUUCACCCGGAUUAUAUUUCUUUAAUAGACGGAAUACUGGAUUACAUUUCUCCGUCAAUUGUGAGAUGAAUCGAGUAAUGUAAUUCAAUCUCCCUAGGAAACCUCGAACUUCCUUCUGAGUGCGCAUGGGAGGUAAAUCUCGUAUUGCCUUUACUUUGUCUGGGUCAACCUCAAUCCCCUUUCUGCUAACUAUGAAGCCUAAUAACUUCCCUGAUCUGGCUCCAAACGUGCAUUUUUCCGGAUUAAGCUUGAGCUGGAAUUUCCUCAAUCUCAAAAAUAACUUUUUCAAGACUUGAACAUGCUCUUCUUCAGUUCUAGACUUUGUGAUCAUAUCAUCAACAUAGACUUCGAUCUCCUUAUGCAUCAUGUCAUGAAACAAAGUCACCAUGGCCCUUUGAUACGUUGCCCCUACAUUCUUCAAUCCAAACGCAAUUACUUUGUAACAAAAUGUUCCCCAUAAGGUAAUGAAUGUGGUUUUCCUCAUGUCUUCAGGAUGCAUCUUUAUUUGAUUGUAUCCAAAGAAGCCAUCCAUGAAAGAAAACAAUGAGUAGCCCGCCGUGUUAUCUACCAGAGCGUCGAUAUGAGGCAAGGGAAAAUUAUAUUUUGGGCUAGCCUUAUUUAAAUCUCUAUAAUCUACACACAUUCGUACCUUUCCAUCUUUUUUAGGGGCAGGUACGAUAUUAGCUACCCACUUAGAAUAUUUGACCACUUGCAAGAAUCCAGCGUCGAAUUGCUUUUGCACCUCCUCCUUUAUAGGAAGAUGGUGAACUACGAUAUCAGUACUUAACCCAGGCAUAUCUUGGUAUGACCACGCGAAGACAUCUUUGAACUCUCGAAGCAACUCAAUGAGGUCUUGUUUUACUUCUUCGGCUAUGCAUGUGCCAAUCUUCACCACUUUUUCCUCUUCCAGGGUCACCGUCUCUACCGUCUCUUUAUGGGGUAGAAUUUGUUUCUCCUCUUGCUCUACCAUCCUUAACAAGUCCGGAGAUAGGUUGCCAUCUAUGUUAUCUUCAAAAUAAUGAGAUUUCUCUAAACACAUAUCCCAUUCAAAAGGAUUUUCUGAGUCCAUAGUAGAGUCACUCAUGUCAUUGAUAUCUUGGGACCUGUUAUAGGUACCAAAGAAUAUACAAAGAAUGUAUGAAUUUAAGAAUACUUUUAUAGUAUGGUUAUGAAUUAAUGAAAUAAUGAUUUGGAAUAAAAGAAUCCAAAAUGACUAUUCAUACGAAAGAAUGAAAGAAUAUAUGCUCAAAAAGAAAUUGCGAAGAUAUAUUUCAUUGAAGUCACAAUGUUCAAACAUAUGCCUAUUUCACAAAAAGUUUCAUUAUCUCUAGGCUUAAAAUAAUUAGCAUGUUUUGAAUAUUACUCUGGAAAAGUUCUAAAAACUUCAGGUAUUUCUUCUGCAGUCCAGUUACUUAGAACACUCCCAGGUUCAAAGGGACGGAUGCCUGAUAUACUUUCUUCUCCGAAUAUGGCAUUGAUGCUCAGGCUUUCUAACAUUUCCUCCGUGGUCUCCUUUCUUGGUGUCAUCAAUCCAGAAUACAUGAUUCCUCCUAGUACGAAGGUCCUGGAUAUGUAGGGGAAAGUAAUAGGUUCCCAAUCAACUUCUUCUCCACUCAAACAUGCCUUUCUCCUCUCCUGUCUUCUCUCUAACUAUUUCCUUCUUUGCUUAGCAUUUGGCUUAAAUCCUAAACCAAAGUGGUCUCAUUCAUCCUUCAUCAUUGGUGCUUCUAUUCUUCCCUGAAGGCAUCUUUCCAAUCCUCUUCCAGGUACAGCUCCUCUCCCAACUAUCAUUUGUAGUCCCAUCUUCGUGGCUCUAGAUAUGCUGGGCAUAGGGAUCUUCUUUCCCUCGACAACAAAGGUUACAUUUACGAAUUCUAAAGAUCGAAUGGAACAUUCGAUCGCCUCAUCAUCAGUUCCCAAAUAUGGUGUGUCACUAGUUACUGAUGCAAUGAUGUCUUCUUUAGCACUUAUCAUAACUAAACGGCCUUCUGUUACCAAUUUCAACUUUUGGUGCAAUGAUGAAGGCACCACCCCUGUUGAAUGAAUCCAGGGUCUUCUCAACAAGCAAUUAUAUGAAGGCUUGAUAUCCAUCACUAGGAAAUCCACCUCGUAUGUAUUCGGGCCAAUCAUGAGGGAUACUUCUAUUCUCCCCAUCACUCUUCUUUCGGUACCAUCAAAUGCUCUCACUAUAUUCUGGCAUGAUUUCAUGUGAGAGCUCUCCACCAGUAACCUGUUUAAGGUGGAUAGAGGUAAAACAUUUAAGGCCGAUCCAUUAUCAAUUAGCAUACCCGACAACAUAUAUUCUCCGCAACGAGUGGUGAUAUGUAAGGCUUUGGUGGCUCCUCUUCCCCUCGGUGGUAUUUCAUCACCAUUAAAAAAGAUGAAAUUGUCGGCACUUAUGUUGUUAACCGAAUGGUCCAACUUGUUCACCGAGAUAUCGUUAGCGACAUAAGUUUCAUUUAGUACCUUUAUCAAUGCAUUAUGAUGUAUCUCUGAACUUAAAAGUCACUCAAGUACCGAGAUACGAGCUGAUUGCUUAUGUAGUUGUUCCACCAUGCUGUACUCGCUAUGUUUUAAGAAUUUUAGAAAUUCUCUAGCCUCAUUUUCAGUCACCAGCUGAUUGACGUGCGAUUCAAUUCUGUCUAUUUUUCUUUUCUUCGCUCAACUGCUAAGGCUUUUCCUUUUCCAGAUUCCACUCUUGUAUAGAAUCCUUCAUCCUCUUCUGAAGCAUUUAUCAAGCUCUCUCCUCCUGGGAUUGUCACAUUGCAGUCGUAAUUCCAAGGAACCUUUUUGCUAUCCUUGUAGGGAAAGGAUACAGGUUUUUGGAUUAUGACCUUUGGCGCUAUUUGUAUUCUAGAUUCUUUGCUCAUUGGCUUUGAAAUAAUCACCACUGGGUGAUUAACCUUUUGGGCUUUCCCCGCAGAUUCUUCUUCUGAAGCAUAAACUCCUCCAUCUUCUAAUCCCUUGAUCUCUUCAUAAAGCUCCAACUCUUUGUUAUCCAUUAAGUUUUGCACCAUGGUUCUGAACUCAGUGCAUUUUUGGAUGUCGUGGCCUUCCUCUACAUGGAACUCACAAUCCUUGCUCCUUCAGGCCUUUCUAUUGAAUCUUGCUUGAUGAGACCUCUUUCCAUCAUUUGUUUCCAAACCCAUUCAAGGGGGUCUUUAUCUCUGCUACGUUGGCUUUGACUCUACUUCCUCCAUUCCUAAUUAUUGCAUUCACCCCUUUAUCGUCAUGAUUAGGCAAUGGAUUCCCUACUACGUUUGGUCCUGAUGAGUCGCCAAUCUUUACAAUCCCCAAAUUGAUAAGUUUUUCAACAAACUUCUUGAAUGCAGUGCAAUUUUCGAUCGAGUGCCCCUUACUUCCCGCGUGAUACUCGCAUUGGGCGUUUGCGUCAUACCACUUGGGGUAGGGAGGUUACAUAGGUUUUAGGUAAAAUAGAGAUACCACAUGUGCAUCAAAUAAGUUCUGGUACAGUUCCCUAUACGUCAUGGAAUGGGUGUGAAUUGAGGUCUCUCUACAUUUGGCCUCAGAUUAGAUUCCUGUUUCGAGGAACCUUGCUGAUUAGCAGUUACUGCUCUGGCUUAUCCCACCGUGAUUGAUUUAGAAUGGUCCUUGUUAAACAUGCUUGUAUUGUUUAUCUCGUGCUCCUUCUUUCUUGGUGCUGACCAUUUAGUACUUUCUCCUGCUUCUAUCUUGCCACAUCUUAUGGCGUUCUCUAUCAUUUCUCCAGACAUCACUAUGUCUGAAAAGCUUUUGGUGGCACUGCCCAACAUAUGAUUGAGAAAUGGAGCUUUCAAAGUAUUGAUAAAAAGCAUGGUUAUCUCUUUCUCUAAAAGUGGCGGUUGAACUUGCGUUGCUACCUCCCUCCAUCUCUAAGCAUACUGUUGGAAGCUCUCAUUAGGUUUCUUUUCCAUGUUUUGCAAUACAAUUCGAUCGGGUGCUAUAUCCAUUACAUGUCUGUAUUUCUUUAUAAAGACUUGCGCCAAAUCUUUCCACGAGUGGAUGUUGGCCUGACUCAAUUGAUUAUACCAUCUAGCCGCUGACCCGACCAAGCUGUCCUGGAAACAGUGAAUCAGCAGUUGAUCAUUGUAGAUGUACCCGGUCAUCCUUCGGCAAAACAUAGUGAAAUGAGCUUCGGGACAACUUGUCCCAUUAUACUUCUCAAACUCCGGCAAUUUAAAUUUGGGAGGGAGGACCAAAUCGGGUACCAAGCUCAAAUCUUUAGCGUCCAUUCCUCGAUGGUAAUCGGUAUUUUCCAUAGCUUUAAACUUCUCCUCUAACCAUCUACGUCGGUCUUCUAAUUGUUUUGGCAGGUCUACUCUUGCCUUCUCCAUUUCUGCUGCGUUAUCGAGAUUAGGAACCACGAGAUUAGUAGGAUUAUCCCCAGGAUUAGGAUCCAAGCUUGUUGGGAAGUUCAUCGAUGCUGAGGCACCGACUUGGUAUUGGGAUCUAAUGGUGACGGGUACCCUUUGUGGCGCCUGGAUAUUGGUUGGAGCGAAACCUGGAGAAUAGGUAGGGUCUUCGUGAUCAUCCCCAAAAUUUACAAUAGGGCUCUUUCCCUUAUCAUGCCCUCCAACCAUAAACUGCUUCAAUUGAUCCAAUAAAUCUCUUUGGGAUUCUUCCAUGUCUUGCUGUAUUUUAGUUAGUUUUUCUUGCAUCUGAGCUUGUAUAUGUUCUUGCAAUUGCUCCAAUCUCUCUAGUCUUUGAUCCAUUUCUUUAGUCUUGCGGCGAGUACCGUAGCGAUAACUAAUUGGCAGAUUUUUGUUGGUUUCCAGGAUAACUGUCAUAAUUUUAAUUAAUUAGGGCUCUUUUUUAAAACUUUAAUGCAUGUGAUAAAAUGUAAUAAAGAUGAAUGGAUGCAAAAGUGGCAUUGAUUCUAAUUCAAUUUCAUUAGAAAAACUCAACUAGAAAAUAAAUUUCUUUUACAUAAAGUGGAUUACAUAUACGGCUUUGUCUUUAUGCUCAAAGCCUUAAUUGUCCUAAGGAGCCAAGCUAACUCUCAACCCCAACUUGAUUCUGAUUCAUAUUUCAAACUCAAUACAUCGGCCUGAACUGCUAAGGCUUGUAAAUGAUCAGCUAUUUCCCGAACUUGAGUUAUGGCUUCACCCAUAAUGUAAUCCCUAUCUUUAAUCUGAUUUUGAGAAUGAUGGAGCUGCUCUUGGCAUUGUUCGUUACGCCUCUCAAGAAGUUCCACUCGCAAUUUAGAGUUUGGCAGUGCGUCUUCAAGCUCUCCUAUCUUUUUCUUCAACUCUUCAAUCUUACUCAAACUUGCAUUUAGCUCGAUCACAGAGUUGCGACUACGGCACAAGUGAAGCGACCUUUCUAACUCCGCUACCCAAUCUUUCAAUCUUGCUUCUUCAUUUUGGCAUUCUAACAAACUUUUCUCUAAGGCGCUCUCUCGAGCUCGGGCAUCUUGAAAUUUCUUUUCCCACUGAUCAGCUUUGGUCCUUUCUUCCUUGAUCUCCUGUCUCCAUUGCUCUGAUGUUUUCCCCAAACCUACAGUUCGCAUUGACAAACGCAGCUUCUUAUAAUCCGUUUUUAAACUAUCUAAAUCCUCUUCAGCCUUGUUCUUCCCUUUUCUUAACUUUUCAGCUUCCAACUUGUGGAUAUCAACAUCUAGUCCCAAACGCAACUUUUCCUCUUCUAGCUGCUCUAUCUUCUUUCUAAACUCCGAACUUCUUUUUUCAAAGUCUCGUUUGAUGAUCUCUAAUUCUGAUGGGACUACUCGUAAAUGCUCCUCUAUAGAUCGACCACAUUUUUCUCUUACCUUUGGAAUGUUGUCAUUGAUCCUCUUACUCCACCACCCGUGAUAUUCGAGAGUUGUCGUUGCUCCUACGGUAAUUCUUUUCAUCCAGUGAAUUUGUUUUCAAGCGUUAGACAUCUCUCGAAUCUUUCCCCUGUAGUUAUUACCUUUAUAAGAAAACUCACACUCAGCCAGCCCUUGCGUUGCCGGUACGAAUUGUCUUGACCUAUAUUGUCUUAACACGAGCAGAGGGGCAUAUCCGACGGCUCCCCAGAUUCCAAGUAAAGGAACCCAGUCAAAAUCCCCGCAUCGGUACAAAAUCUCGUCGGGCACCAUCCAAGAAGCUCUCCAUUCAAUAUCUUCAUCUUGUAGAUUUUGAAGGAUCGUCAUCCACUUCUCUCCUGUGAUGUCAUCGCGUCUUGGUGUCGCUGCUAAUUCCUUCAGAGGUGAAUAAUUUUCUGAGAAAACUUGAUAAGAAAUCUUAUCCACCUUUCAGAAAUGGCUAUGAAACCAAACUAACAGGAGUUGUGCACAACCAACAAAUCUUCCCUCCCCCGUUCUUCGACAGGCACUCAAAGAUCUGAACGUUUCAGCCAAAAUUGCUGGGACGGGUGUGACCCUCCUAUCAAGUUGAUCGAACAAAUCUGUAACGGCUUCGUCUAUAUGCCCCAACGCUUUAGGAAAAAUAACCAGCCCAUAGAUACUCAAAGCAAAAACAUCGACUUUCUUCUUCGUAUCAGGGUGUGCCAAAAUCUGAUCUCGCAGACUUCUCCAAGGGAUACAUCUAUUUUCUCCCUUUUGUUUGAUUCGUACAAUGACCCAUUGUUCACUCAUUUCGGUAAUUCUUGUUAACUUCUUUGUAAAAGUCAAAACAUUAGCAGCUCUAGAAUACACUUUAUCCACUUGGAUUCUUGGACAACGAAGUAAAGCUGUAUAUUCCUCCACAGUAGGCACCAUGUCUAUCUCUCCAAAUGUGAAGCAGCUAUAAGCGAAAUUCUAAAAUUGGGCCAGAGCUCGAAAUAAAUAUUCAUCUACAUUGAUGUCAAGCAAGUAGGGUAAAUCACCAUAAUUGUAGUGAAACAACUGUUUGACUUCAUCAUCCCAUUAAACCUAAAUUUCUUUCAACUCCUGAAGAUUAUUCUGAGUCACGUUGAUGCUAGUGUAAUCCCAUAACUCUGAUGUGUACCCCAUCGGCAGACUAUCACCUUUCUUAAGUUGCAUUUUUUCUGACCAUAUUCGGAUAACCGCAUUAUCUUCCACUUUAUUAAGAAAUUCACUUUCCAUGAUUGGCUUUUCUAUCUAGUAACUGAAUGUGAAUCAAUGCCUUUUGUAAUGAAAUACCAUGUAUACAAAAUGUCAUGCAAUCAAAAAAUAGAACAAUAAGUUAGUACCAAAAUAAAAUCUGAUGCAAGCAAUAAAUAAUAGAGCACCUAUUUGGAUAUCUACCAGUGGUUUGAAGUAGUUCUACCUAGGGUGGGUUCCUAAAGUUCACUACAUGUGGUUUGGUUCUAAAGAACAAGUACCCGAACCAGCAGAUUCCUCAAUUCUCACCCAUUAUAGGCUCAUACGAACCGAGUUUGGUUCAGGGGAAUACAUUUCCUUAUGGCUACACGGAGAUGAAAAUCUCACGAAGACAUAGGUACAGAUGUAUCCCAAAAGCGAUCCAUUAUCCUGCAUGGAGGUGAAAACCUCACGAAGGAGUAGUUUCUCACUCCCAUUUACAAGGGUAUGACCAAAGGUCAUGCAAUGCAAUGUGCAGAAAGAUGCCAAAAUUUAAGCCAACACAUGAAUCAUAAACCACAAUAAUGAAAAUUGUAAUAAAGACGAAUGAAAUGCAAUGAAAGGAUCGUAUAUUUAAACUAACAUUUUCAACUUUCGACAAAAAGGCAAAAAGUAAUCAACUCGUGGCUUGACUCUCUUAUUUUGUUCCCCAGCGGAGUCGCCAAGCUGUUGACACCAUUUUUUGAAUGAAAACGAGGUCGACUUGGAUUUUGAAAAUGAAAACGAAAAAAACGGGAGUUGCCACCAAUCCUUUUUGAUAAGGUGUGAUCGGUUCACCUUGAAAAGUGGUUAUUUUUAAUAAACGAUUGGAUUUUAUUAAAAUAACGGUUUUGGUCCACGAAAGUCAGAAAACAGGUUUGGGAGUCAGUUACGCACAAGGAAGGAUUAGCACCCUCGAUACGCCCAAAAUUGGUACCUAGUUGAUUACUUAAUGUCUUAGUGUCGAAAAUUGAAAACUUUAAAGAAAUUUAAAAUACGAUCCUUAUAAAAAACUCGAAUGGCAUAGAUUAAAAUUCAAGAGGAUAUUCGGCAAUUUGGUUAAACGAGAAAUUGAAACCCAGUACAUUAGGGCACGUUCCUCGAAUUUCCAAACGCAAAACAUUGCCUCAUUUGAAAUUUUUAAAAGGAUAUUUAGCUAUUUGGUCGGUUGAGAAAAAUCGAAACCCAGCACAUUAGGGCACGUUUUCUCGAAUUUCCAAAUGCAAAACAUUGCCUUAUUUUGAAAACUUUUUUUUCUAAAAGGAUGUUUAGCUAUUUGGUUGAACGAGAAAAAUCAAAACCCAGUACAUUAGGGUUCGUUUUCUCGAAUUUCCAAACGCUAAAUAUUGCCUCAAUUAGAAAUAUUUUUCCUAAAAGGCCACUCCAUUUCGGCAAAAGACCCACGCCCAAAUUCCAUAGCUUUGGGUCCGCUAUCCCGAUCAUGAUUUUCCUACCCCCAGAGGGAAAGGUCCUUCCCUUUUGGGCCGGUUGUGGGCGAGGAGGGAUUCGAACCCCCGACACUGUGGUUCGUAGCCACGUGCUCUAAUCCUCUGAGCUACAGGCCCCACCUCGUCUCCACUGGAUCUGUUCCCAGGAGUACCCUAAAAAAAAGGAACAUUUCCUCUCCCCAUCCAUUUCGGGUUAAGAAGAUGUGAAAGUGCCUUUCUCUCUAUAAGUUGCCACCGUUGAGUUUGGAACCCUGAGCAGACUGCCGGUGAUAAGCCGGAGGAAGGUGAGGAUGACGUCAAGUCAUCAUGCCCCUUAUGCCCUAGGCGACACACGUGCUACAAUGGACGGGACAAAGGGUCGCGAUCCCGCAAGGGUGAGCUAACUCCAAAAACCCGUCCUCAGUUCGGAUUGCAGGCUGCAACUCACCUGCAUGAAGCCGGAAUCGCUAGUAAUCGCCGGUCAGCCAUACGGCA